AUACUUUUUUGACCUUUUGGCUGAGAUAAAGUGCAAUAUCUGCAGUUUAAUAUCUGGUAUGCGUGCCAUAUGUCCACUUUAAUUUUAAAUUUAUUAUUUGUGGGAAGGAUCCAUCGUAGUGGCUUGCCUUUAGGCACUCUCGUUUCGUACAAAUAUU
This 157-nucleotide small nuclear RNA is filed under the name Zea mays. Its description in RNAcentral is "U2 spliceosomal RNA". It matches the Rfam family "U2 spliceosomal RNA", at positions 1 to 163 of the family's 192-position model. Rfam says of the family: U2 is a small nuclear RNA (snRNA) component of the spliceosome (involved in pre-mRNA splicing). Complementary binding between U2 snRNA (in an area lying towards the 5' end but 3' to hairpin I) and the branchpoint sequence (BPS) of the intron results the bulging out of an unpaired adenosine, on the BPS, which initiates a nucleophilic attack at the intronic 5' splice site, thus starting the first of two transesterification reactions that mediate splicing. The record is from Rfam by way of RNAcentral. Lineage: Eukaryota; Viridiplantae; Streptophyta; Magnoliopsida; Poales; Poaceae.